RNAcentral lists this transfer RNA (72 nucleotides) under Mus musculus (house mouse). RNAcentral's name for it is "tRNA-Gly". Lineage: Eukaryota; Metazoa; Chordata; Mammalia; Rodentia; Muridae. The record is from RNAcentral.
GUGACAUGGCUCAGUGGUUAAGAGCACUGACUUCCCUUCCAGAGGUCCUGAGUUCAAUUCCCAGCAAACACA